RNAcentral lists this unclassified non-coding RNA (313 nucleotides) under Hevea brasiliensis (rubber tree). Lineage: Eukaryota; Viridiplantae; Streptophyta; Magnoliopsida; Malpighiales; Euphorbiaceae. The record is from RNAcentral.
CUUUCCAAGACUUUAUCUUAUAUUUCCUCUCACAUCACAAAUCGUUGAGGCCACCGGUGUAGUAACAGAAACAGCAUGGGCAGGAGCUGCAUAUAAUCUUCUGCUUUACAUGUUGGCAAGCCAUGUCUCAGGAGCUAUCUAUUACCUUCUAUCAGUUCAGAGGGAAAUAGAUUGUUGGAAAAGUGUUUGCAAAGUUGAGAAUUGUCAAAAUGGAUACUUUGAUUGCCAUAGCGUCCAAGAUCCUGCAAGAGUUGCCUGGCUAAACUCUAGCAAUGUCACAAAUAUAUGCAAUCCAAGUAAUAGCUUCUAUGAG